UGGGGAAUAUUGGACAAUGGGCGAAAGCCUGAUCCAGCCAUGCCGCGUGUGUGAAGAAGGCCUUCGGGUUGUAAAGCACUUUAAGCGAGGAGGAAUGGCUCUGGGUUAAUACCCUUGAGCAGUGACGUUACUCGCAGAAUAAGCACCGGCUAACUCUGUGCCAGCAGCCGCGGUAAUACAGAGGGUGCAAGCGUUAAUCGGAAUUACUGGGCGUAAAGCGCGCGUAGGCGGUUUGUUAAGUCGGAUGUGAAAUCCCCGGGCUCAACCUGGGAAUUGCAUUCGAUACUGGCAAGCUAGAGUAUGGGAGAGGAAGGUAGAAUUCCAGGUGUAGCGGUGAAAUGCGUAGAGAUCUGGAGGAAUACCGAUGGCGAAGGCAGCCUUCUGGCCUAAUACUGACGCUGAGGUGCGAAAGCAUGGGGAGCAAACAGGAUUAGAUACCCCCGUAGUCCCUGAGCGGGCUGGCAAGGCGCAU
This 472-nucleotide ribosomal RNA is filed under the name uncultured bacterium. RNAcentral's name for it is "bacterial SSU rRNA". It matches the Rfam family "Bacterial small subunit ribosomal RNA", at positions 355 to 825 of the family's 1533-position model. The record is from RNAcentral.